RNAcentral lists this ribosomal RNA (465 nucleotides) under uncultured bacterium. RNAcentral's name for it is "partial 16S ribosomal RNA". It matches the Rfam family "Bacterial small subunit ribosomal RNA", at positions 355 to 838 of the family's 1533-position model. The record is from RNAcentral.
UGGGGAAUAUUGGACAAUGGGGGCAACCCUGAUCCAGCAAUGCCGCGUGUGUGAAGAAGGUCUUCGGAUUGUAAAGCACUUUCGACGGGGACGAUGAUGACGGUACCCGUAGAAGAAGCCCCGGCUAACUUCGUGCCAGCAGCCGCGGUAAUACGAAGGGGGCUAGCGUUGCUCGGAAUGACUGGGCGUAAAGGGCGUGUAGGCGGUUUACACAGUCAGAUGUGAAAUCCCCGGGCUUAACCUGGGAGCUGCAUUUGAUACGUGUAGACUAGAGUGUGAGAGAGGGUUGUGGAAUUCCCAGUGUAGAGGUGAAAUUCGUAGAUAUUGGGAAGAACACCGGUGGCGAAGGCGGCAACCUGGCUCAUUACUGACGCUGAGGCGCGAAAGCGUGGGGAGCAAACAGGUUAGAUACCCUGGUAGUCCACGCUGUAAACGAUGUGUGCUAGAUGUUGGGUAACUUUGUUA